This 345-nucleotide unclassified non-coding RNA is filed under the name soil metagenome. RNAcentral describes it as "partial contains 5.8S ribosomal RNA, internal transcribed spacer 2, and large subunit ribosomal RNA". The stretch from base 1 to 120 matches the Rfam family "5.8S ribosomal RNA", at positions 35 to 154 of the family's 154-position model. The record is from RNAcentral.
GAUGAAGAACGCAGCGAAAUGCGAUACGUAAUGUGAAUUGCAGAAUUCAGUGAAUCAUCGAGUCUUUGAACGCACAUUGCGCCCCCUGGUAUUCCGGGGGGCAUGCCUGUCCGAGCGUCAUUGCUGCCCUCAAGCAUGGCUUGUGUGUUGGGCCUCCGUCCUCCUCCCGGGGGACGGGCCCUAAAGGCAGCGGCGGCACCGCGUCCGGUCCUCGAGCGUAUGGGGCUUCGUCACCCGCUCUUGUAGGCCCGGCCGGCGCUUGCCGACACAUCAAUCUUUUUUCCAGGUUGACCUCGGAUCAGGUAGGGAUACCCGCUGAACUUAAGCAUAUCAAUAAGCGGAGGA